CACAAAGAUGCUUUAUCCAACUUACCUGCUGUGUCUAUUGUUGUGCUAUAUUCAGUGUUCCUGGGGACAAAUUGUGCUGACUCAGUCUGCAGAUGUCACUGUGUCACCUGGUGAAAGUGUCACCAUAACAUGUAAAGCCAGUAGUAGUGUUAGCGGCUACUUAGCCUGGUACAAACAGAAUCCAGGACAACGUCCAAUGCUUCUUAUCUAUGAUACAAGCAACAAACACACAGGGACCCCAGACAGGUUCAGCGGCAGUGGGUCUGGUACUGAUUACACUCUCACAAUCAGCGGAGUGCAAGCAGAAGAUGCAGCAGAUUAUUACUGUCAGCAGCGUUACAGCUUACCUCUCACACUUCUAGGUGCCAUAGUAGCCUGCUUCUCCAUACUGCUUAAGUCUGCUUGCCUUCCCAUCUCCUGCAAGCCUUACCGGUCUGUCUCAACCUUACCUACAUCCUCAUCAUCAGGGGCCAAGGAGUCUGACUGCCGCUUGCUGCACGCAUUAUCUGACCUGGUUAAAUCAGAAGGAUUCUUGUAA
Molecule: non-coding RNA, 538 nt
Organism: Bombina bombina (fire-bellied toad)
Lineage: Eukaryota; Metazoa; Chordata; Amphibia; Anura; Bombinatoridae
Source: the annotation of a RefSeq genome assembly